CGCAAAUAAAACGAUGACCAUAAGCAUACCUCUUUGUUCAAUUGAUCUGAUUCGUGGGAGGCUUGUUGCAGCUAAAUCUUUGCUUGAAUUCGGUGUGAAGGUCCCGAGUGAUGUAAAGCUAUUGAAUUUGAGACUGUGUGAACCUAACGAUAUUAUGACUCUUAUUCAUAUGGAUGGGUUUUAGCUUAUAAUUGGGCUCAUAGAGCUAAAGUUAUAAGACGUCUAGCGUAAUGCUUGAUGGGCUGCAAGGGUGGAAAGAUGGAUGAGGUCUUUCAAAUUCUAUUAGGAUAACUAUAUAUUUGUACAAGAUCUAGCAUGCAUUGAAGCACGAGCAGCCUCACUAUAAUCACUCCAUUUGUGAUAAAUGAUUAUCUCAUCCUUAACUCGGUCAGCCAGUCGAGAAUCUUUCUUUCCUAUUCGCUUGUCUUUCUCUGAGCUUUGCGGAGUCAACCUUAGAAGCGAAGAGGUCCAUGGAAGGUCUUGGCUAAGUUAGAUUACAAGGUUGCAAAGCAACAAUGCUGGGACUUGCUUCAUAGGCUGGGUCUACUUCAAUGUUUUGAUGAAUUAUGUGAGGUGGGGCAGCUUUCCGGGAUAUUCACUAGAGAGAUCUUCCCCAGCGAAGAUCUUGUUGUGUUGUAAAGGCAGUUUGCACCCCUAUUCUCAUCCUCACCUGGUCAUUUGCACACUGAUAUUUUUCAUGUAAUUGUCCAUUUAUAGCAAAAAUGAACUAGGACUCCUAUUUGGGGAGGACUAAAAUGGACUCAAAUAGAAAUCCAAUCCUACUUGUUUCGA
This is a long non-coding RNA of Salvia splendens (bonfire salvia), 792 nucleotides long. RefSeq lists it as uncharacterized. The transcript has 2 exons. The record is from RefSeq and is a predicted model, not a curated record. NCBI's taxonomy places the organism in Eukaryota, Viridiplantae, Streptophyta, Magnoliopsida, Lamiales, Lamiaceae.